This 300-nucleotide ribosomal RNA is filed under the name uncultured Methanocella sp. RNAcentral describes it as "partial 16S ribosomal RNA". The stretch from base 52 to 300 matches the Rfam family "Bacterial small subunit ribosomal RNA", at positions 547 to 795 of the family's 1533-position model. The record is from RNAcentral. Lineage: Archaea; Methanobacteriati; Methanobacteriota; Methanomicrobia; Methanocellales; Methanocellaceae.
GCUACGGCGAGAGAGGGGGGGGGGAAAUAACGUAGGGGGGUAGCGGUAAGGGGAAGUACUGGUGGUAAGGCGUGCGCAGGCGGGUUUGUAAGACAGGUGUGAAAUCCCCGGGGUUAACCUGGGAACUGCAUUUGUGACUGCAAAGAUGGAGUGCGGCAGAGGGGGAUGGAAUGCCGCGUGUAGCAGUGAAAUGCGUAGAUAUGCGGAGGAACACCGAUGGCGAAGGCAAUCCCCUGGGCCUGCACUGACGCUCAUGCACGAAAGCGUGGGGAGCAAACAGGAUUAGAUACUCGUGUAGUC